GGACAGAUGCCAGAGUGGUCGAUUGGGCACGCCUGGAAAGCGUGUGUGGGUGAAAGCUCACCGUGGGUUCGAAUCCCACUCUGUCCGCCA
This 90-nucleotide transfer RNA is filed under the name Verrucomicrobiales bacterium. RNAcentral describes it as "tRNA-Ser". It matches the Rfam family "tRNA". From Rfam's summary of the family: Transfer RNA (tRNA) molecules are approximately 80 nucleotides in length. Their secondary structure includes four short double-helical elements and three loops (D, anti-codon, and T loops). Further hydrogen bonds mediate the characteristic L-shaped molecular structure. tRNAs have two regions of fundamental functional importance: the anti-codon, which is responsible for specific mRNA codon recognition, and the 3' end, to which the tRNAs corresponding amino acid is attached (by aminoacyl-tRNA synthetases). tRNAs cope with the degeneracy of the genetic code in two manners: having more than one tRNA (with a specific anti-codon) for a particular amino acid; and 'wobble' base-pairing, i.e. permitting non-standard base-pairing at the 3rd anti-codon position. RNAcentral also lists the same sequence under 2 other names. The record is from RNAcentral. Lineage: Bacteria; Pseudomonadati; Verrucomicrobiota; Verrucomicrobiia; Verrucomicrobiales.